GACAGAGGGGGCAAGCGUUGCUCGGAAUCACUGGGCGUAAAGGGCGCGUAGGCGGCCUGCUAAGUCGGAUGUGAAAUCCCUCGGCUCAACCGAGGAACUGCAUCCGAUACUGGCGGGCUUGAAUCCGGGAGAGGGAUGUGGAAUUCCAGGUGUAGCGGUGAAAUGCGUAGAUAUCUGGAGGAACACCGGUGGCGAAGGCGGCAUUCUGGACCGACAUUGACGCUGAGGAGCGAAAGCCAGGGGAGCAAACGGG
RNAcentral lists this ribosomal RNA (253 nucleotides) under uncultured bacterium. RNAcentral's name for it is "partial 16S ribosomal RNA". It matches the Rfam family "Bacterial small subunit ribosomal RNA", at positions 524 to 776 of the family's 1533-position model. The record is from RNAcentral.